UACGAAGGGGGCUAGCGUUGUUCGGAAUUACUGGGCGUAAAGCGUGCGCAGGCGGCUAUCCAAGUCAGUGGUGAAAGCCCGGAGCUCAACUCCGGAACUGCCAUUGAAACUGUUUAGCUCGAGUACGAGAGAGGUGAGUGGAAUUCCCAGUGUAGAGGUGAAAUUCGUAGAUAUUGGGAAGAACACCGGUGGCGAAGGCGGCUCGCUGGAUCUUUUCUGACGCUGAGGCGCGAAAGCUAGGGGAGCAAACGGG
RNAcentral lists this ribosomal RNA (253 nucleotides) under uncultured bacterium. RNAcentral's name for it is "partial 16S ribosomal RNA". It matches the Rfam family "Bacterial small subunit ribosomal RNA", at positions 524 to 776 of the family's 1533-position model. The record is from RNAcentral.